UCCAGGGUAGCCUAGUGGACAUGGCAUCUGCCCGGUAAGCGGAACAUUGUGGGUUCGUUUCCCAUCCCUGGAC
This 73-nucleotide transfer RNA is filed under the name Cordylochernes scorpioides. RNAcentral's name for it is "tRNA-Thr". It matches the Rfam family "tRNA". Rfam says of the family: Transfer RNA (tRNA) molecules are approximately 80 nucleotides in length. Their secondary structure includes four short double-helical elements and three loops (D, anti-codon, and T loops). Lineage: Eukaryota; Metazoa; Arthropoda; Arachnida; Pseudoscorpiones; Chernetidae. The record is from RNAcentral.